Long non-coding RNA from Lepidothrix coronata (blue-crowned manakin), 91 nucleotides. RefSeq lists it as uncharacterized. NCBI's taxonomy places the organism in Eukaryota, Metazoa, Chordata, Aves, Passeriformes, Pipridae. The transcript has 3 exons. The record is from RefSeq and is a predicted model, not a curated record.
GUUUUCAGGACAAAUCCAAACCAUAGCCCCAUAUUAGCUACUGUGAAGAAAAUUAACUCUAUCCCAGUCCAAAACCAGCACAGGGGGACAG